This 494-nucleotide ribosomal RNA is filed under the name uncultured bacterium. RNAcentral describes it as "partial 16S ribosomal RNA". It matches the Rfam family "Bacterial small subunit ribosomal RNA", at positions 29 to 523 of the family's 1533-position model. The record is from RNAcentral.
AUUGAACGCUGGCGGUAUGCCUUACACAUGCAAGUCGAACGGUAGAGGGGCAACCCUUGAGAGUGGCGAACGGGUGAGUAAUACAUCGGAACGUGCCCAGUCGUGGGGGAUAACGUAGCGAAAGCUACGCUAAUACCGCAUACGACCUGAGGGUGAAAGCGGGGGAUCGCAAGACCUCGCGCGAUUGGAGCGGCCGAUGGCAGAUUAGGUAGUUGGUGGGGUAAAGGCCUACCAAGCCUGCGAUCUGUAGCUGGUCUGAGAGGACGACCAGCCACACUGAGACUGAGACACGGCCCAGACUCCUACGGGAGGCAGCAGUGGGGAAUUUUGGACAAUGGGCGAAAGCCUGAUCCAGCCGUACCGCGUGCGGGAAGAAGGCCUUCGGGUUGUAAACCGCUUUUGUCAGGGAAGAAAUCUUCUGGGUUAAUACCUCGGGAGGAUGACGGUACCUGAAGAAUAAGCACCGGCUAACUACGUGCCAGCAGCCGCAGUAA